GCGGCCGUAGCUCAGUUGGUAGAGCGUCAGCUUCCCAAGCUGAAUGUCGAGAGUUCGAGUCUCUUCGGCCGCUCCA
Molecule: transfer RNA, 76 nt
Filed under: Planctomycetota bacterium
Lineage: Bacteria; Pseudomonadati; Planctomycetota
Also listed under: 1 other name
Description: Planctomycetes bacterium (marine metagenome) tRNA-Gly
Rfam family: tRNA
About the family: Transfer RNA (tRNA) molecules are approximately 80 nucleotides in length. Their secondary structure includes four short double-helical elements and three loops (D, anti-codon, and T loops). Further hydrogen bonds mediate the characteristic L-shaped molecular structure. tRNAs have two regions of fundamental functional importance: the anti-codon, which is responsible for specific mRNA codon recognition, and the 3' end, to which the tRNAs corresponding amino acid is attached (by aminoacyl-tRNA synthetases). tRNAs cope with the degeneracy of the genetic code in two manners: having more than one tRNA (with a specific anti-codon) for a particular amino acid; and 'wobble' base-pairing, i.e. permitting non-standard base-pairing at the 3rd anti-codon position.
Source: RNAcentral